UCCUCGGGCGCAGCAGUAGGGAAUAUUGCUCAAUGGGGGAAACCCUGAAGCAGCAACGCCGCGUGGAGGAUGAAGGUUUUCGGAUUGUAAACUCCUUUUGUUAGAGAAGAUAAUGACGGUAUCUAACGAAUAAGCACCGGCUAACUCCGUGCCAGCAGCCGCGGUAAUACGGAGGGUGCAAGCGUUACUCGGAAUCACUGGGCGUAAAGAGCGCGUAGGCGGGAUAGCAAGUCAGAUGUGAAAUCCUAUGGCUUAACCCAUGAACUGCUAUUGAAACUGCACAGCUUGAGUGAAGUAGAGGUAGG
RNAcentral lists this ribosomal RNA (305 nucleotides) under uncultured bacterium. RNAcentral describes it as "bacterial SSU rRNA". It matches the Rfam family "Bacterial small subunit ribosomal RNA", at positions 337 to 661 of the family's 1533-position model. The record is from RNAcentral.